AGAGUUUGAUCCUGGCUCAGAACGAACGCUGGCGGCGUGCUUCAUACAUGCAAGUCGAACGAGAAAAUUCCGCUUCGGUGGAAUGAGUAGAGUGGCAAACGGGUGAGUAACACGUGGGCAACCUGCUCUCAAAUUGGGGAUAACCUCGCCAACGCGGGGCUAAUACCGAAUGUUGUCCUAAUAUCGCAUGGUAUAAGGAUGAAAGCUUUUUUUUAAUAAGAAGGCGUUUGAGAAGGGGCCCGCGUCCUAUUAGCUUGUUGGUGAGGUAAUGGCUCACCAAGGCUGCGAUAGGUAGCCGGCCUGAGAGGGUGAUCGGCCACACUGGGACUGAGAUACGGCCCAGACUCCUACGGGAGGCAGCAGUAGGAAUAUUGCGCAAUGGACGAAAGUCUGACGCAGCAACGCCGCGUGGGUGAUGAAGUUUUUCGGAACGUAAAACCCUGUCAGGAGGGAAGAAACUCUCGAUUUUUUCGGGACUGACGGUACCUCCAGAGGAAGCUUCGGCCAACUCCGUGCCAGCAGCCGCGGUAACACGGGGGGAGCAAGCGUUGUUCGGAUUUACUGGGCGUAAAGGGCGUGUAGGCGGAUGGGUCAGUCAGAUGUGAAAUUCCAGGGCUCAACUCUGGACCUGCAUUUGAUACUUCUCAUCUAGAGUAUGGGAGAGGAGAUCGGAAUUCCUGGUGUAGCGGUGAAAUGCGUAGAUAUCAGGAAGAACACCGGUGGCGAAGGCGGAUCUCUGGCCUAAUACUGACGCUGAUGCGCGAAAGCUGGGGGAGCAAACAGGAUUAGAUACCCUGGUAGUCCCAGCCGUAAACGAUGGGCACUAGGUGUUGGGGGUAUUGAUCCCCUCAGUGCCGGAGUUAACGCAUUAAGUGCCCCGCCUGGGGAGUACGCUCGCAAGGGUGAAACUCAAAGGAAUUGACGGGGGCCCGCACAAGCGGUGGAGCAUGUGGUUUAAUUCGAUGCAACGCGAAGAACCUUACCGGGGUUUGACAUGCCCGUCAUACCUUGAUGAAAGUCAAGGGUCAGUUCGGCUGGACGGUGCACAGGUGCUGCAUGGCUGUCGUCAGCUCGUGUCGUGAGAUGUUGGGUUAAGUCCCGCAACGAGCGCAACCCUUACCCUUAGUUGCCAGCACGUAAUGGUGGGAACUCUAAGGGGACUGCCUCGGAUAACGGGGAGGAAGGUGGGGAUGACGUCAAGUCCUCAUGGCCCUUAUGCUCCGGGCUACACACGUGCUACAAUGGUCGGUACAGAGGGCUGCGAAACCGCGAGGUGGAGCUAAUCCCAGAAAGCCGAUCUCAGUUCGGAUUGGAGUCUGCAACUCGACUCCAUGAAGUCGGAAUCGCUAGUAAUCGCGAAUCAGCAGGUCGCGGUGAAUACGUUCCCGGGCCUUGUACACACCGCCCGUCAAGCGAUGGAAGCUGGUGGUACCCGAAGUCAGUAGCCUAACUUUUCGAAGAGGGAGCUGCCGAAGGUAAAACUGGUGACUGGCGCUAAGUCGUAACAAGGUA
RNAcentral lists this ribosomal RNA (1512 nucleotides) under metagenome. RNAcentral's name for it is "bacterial SSU rRNA". It matches the Rfam family "Bacterial small subunit ribosomal RNA". The record is from RNAcentral.